RNAcentral lists this long non-coding RNA (213 nucleotides) under Numida meleagris (helmeted guineafowl). RNAcentral describes it as "lncRNA (ENSNMEG00000019101.1)". Lineage: Eukaryota; Metazoa; Chordata; Aves; Galliformes; Numididae. The record is from RNAcentral.
AUGAUCAACGAAUGGCAACAAUCACAGCGAAGCCAACACGGCUACCACAGGCUCUUCAACUUGUUCCUGUCUCCAGCUUGCACUGCAAAAUCAGCAGCAAUGGCAACCCAUUCUGGAAUAACGUUCAUCAAUGAACUGCACCAGGAGCUCAUUCAGGUUCAGAACUGCCAUGGUUUAAAAGGGACCGUGUCAGACUGUUGCAGGAAGCAGUAA